CUAAUUUACCUUGCUGUUAGAGUUUGCUAGUAUCACUGAAAAAAAAAAGCUUUUACAUGUUUGUUUUUUGCACAAAUGUAAUUUAUUCUGAAGCAGUCUAAUCAGUGCUCUAUGAGAUAUUACUUUAAUCAGCAUAUUUUUGAUAUUUGCCUUAAAUUGAUUGCUGUUAUGCCUUUUAACUUAAAAAGAUUAAACUUUCUAACUUUUAAAAGUUAAAUGGAGAUGUCUACAUUUGUUGAAUUCGUACAUGUUAUCCUUACAUUAAAUUAUAAUAAUAAGACAUUAUGGUGGUUAUUAUUAUCAAAAUGAAAUCAGUAUCAACAAACUCAAUCUGUCCAAAUGAAUGUUUUACUUUUUUGACAUACAAAAUAUGAAAUGCUAGAAAAAUGCACUGAUACUUUUAAAUAUGAUAUUAAAUCACCAGUAGGUGGUGACAAGUCACUCUCUUAAUGAGUGAAUCGUUGAUUGAACCGAUUUUCGUAACGAAAGGCUCGCAGAUGUCCGACUGUUCUGCUUUGGCUUUGCUUAGAACAAUUUUUUGUUUGAAAUGGAACAAAAACGACCCAUAAUGUGUCUAAAAUGUAAGUUAAUAUUACUUGUUUAUUUAACUGAAGAUGUAUAAAAUCAAUAUCACAUUAGGAAUCGAGCUGAAAGUCAGAAAAACAUCACUCCUGGUCGUGUGAUGUUGCACAUAUUAUACAGAAUAUUUAGAUUUUUUCAAUCACAGUGUUUCUUUGUGUGUGCUGUUCUUAUAGUUUUGAUUUCUCCGUGAGUCAGACAGACUGCAAGGGCCUCAACUGAUGCGACCUUGAUACUGUCAAUACAUUAUCUGUUAUAACCCAGCAAACACAGAACAUUGUGAGGACGUCGCCAGUUAGUCGUCAUUUGGUCAGCGCGACAUUACUUUAUGGCAACGUUGUGAAGACGUCGUGGUAAAGUUCCAUUUUUUUAAAUCUUGGCUAACUUCCCAGAAACGUUGAGGGCAUAGACAUAUAAAUAGCUAGACGCCUCAUUGGCCGCUCGACCGCACGUCAACGUCGCCGCCAUAUUGGAGCGGGCAACUCUCAUAACUCUCACAUCAGGACAGAAGAAAACAUACCUGACUCAUCGACAGAUUGGACACCUACAAACCGUCACACGAUAAUAAAAACAGAUCUCGGGGUGUUAUCUUUCACACCCAUUUGCAAACAGGACAAGGACAGCCUUAAGGAAAGCUGAGGAAAGCUGGUCUCUGCAUUUCCAAGAGACAAGACUAUACCUCCCUAGACUAGUGUUGUGUUUGUACUAAACCCAGAGCAGCCCUGAAUGAAUCGACACAACGACCCAGCUCAUAUUCUAAUACUAUAGACUACAUUUAAAAAGCUUUGCACAGGCUGUUUAAUGCUGAUCAUGUUCUGCGUGCGUCUUUACACAAAAACUACAUGAUGUUAAUAGACUAGAAAUGAAAAACACAGGAACUCAUAGUGAAUCCAGCUGCAAUAGCAUGAUAAAUUCAUUGUGAUGUUGUUAUAAUUAUUAUUAAUUUUGAUUAAUAUCAAGUUUUUGAGGGGAGCAUCUCAUAUUCUGGUCUGUGAUAAACAUAACUAUACUUUGAGAUUUUGUGGUACAAGGUAAACCUCACACCCAAACAUUCAUAUGUGUUAACAUACAUGGAAAAAUAAAUCACUGUUUCAAAA
Long non-coding RNA from Carassius gibelio (silver crucian carp), 1676 nucleotides. RefSeq lists it as uncharacterized. The transcript has 2 exons. Lineage: Eukaryota; Metazoa; Chordata; Actinopteri; Cypriniformes; Cyprinidae. The record is from RefSeq and is a predicted model, not a curated record.